CCUACGGGGGGCAGCAGUGAGGAAUUUUCUGCAAUGGGCGAAAGCCUGACAGAGCAAUACCGCGUGAGGGAUGAAAGCCUAUGGGUUGUAAACCUCUUUUCUCAAGGAGGAAGAUAUGACGUUACUUGAGGAAUAAGCAUCGGCUAACCCUGUGCCAGCAGCCGCGGUAAUACAGGGGAUGCAAGUGUUAUCCGGAUUUAUUGGGCGUAAAGCGUCUGCAGGUUGAUAUUUAAGUCUUUUGUUAAACCUUCGGGCUUAACCUGAAUUCUGCAAAAGAAAC
RNAcentral lists this ribosomal RNA (280 nucleotides) under Dinobryon sp. RNAcentral describes it as "partial small subunit ribosomal RNA". It matches the Rfam family "Bacterial small subunit ribosomal RNA", at positions 338 to 633 of the family's 1533-position model. Lineage: Eukaryota; Chrysophyceae; Chromulinales; Dinobryaceae. The record is from RNAcentral.